UGGGGAAUAUUGCACAAUGGGCGCAAGCCUGAUGCAGCCAUGCCGCGUGUAUGAAGAAGGCCUUCGGGUUGUAAAGUACUUUCAGCGGGGAGGAAGGGAGUAAAGUUAAUACCUUUGCUCAUUGACGUUACCCGCAGAAGAAGCACCGGCUAACUCCGUGCCAGCAGCCGCGGUAAUACGGAGGGUGCAAGCGUUAAUCGGAAUUACUGGGCGUAAAGCGCACGCAGGCGGUUUGUUUAGUCAGAUGUGAAAUCCCCGGGCUCAACCUGGGAACUGCAUCUGAUACUGGCAAGCUUGAGUCUCGUAGAGGGGGGUAGAAUUCCAGGUGUAGCGGUGAAAUGCGUAGAGAUCUGGAGGAAUACCGGUGGCGAAGGCGGCCCCCUGGACGAAGACUGACGCUCAGGUGCGAAAGCGUGGGGAGCAAACA
Molecule: ribosomal RNA, 427 nt
Filed under: uncultured bacterium
Lineage: Bacteria
Description: partial 16S ribosomal RNA
Rfam family: Bacterial small subunit ribosomal RNA
Source: RNAcentral